GGCUAACGCUGGCGGCGUGUCUUAGCCAUGCAAGUCGAGCGGACUUAUGGGGUAACUUAUAAGUCAGCGGCGGACGGCGGAGUAACACGUAGCUAACCUACCCUCUGGACGGGGAUAACCUACCGAAAGGUGGGCUAAUACCCGAUGUAGUCAUCCUGUAUAGGGGUGAUGAAAGGUGGGCUUCUGUUUACAAGCUCAUGCUGGAGGAGGGGGCUGCGGUCUAUCAGGUAGUUGGUAGGGUAAUAGCCUACCAAGCCGAUGACGGGUAGCCGGCCUGAGAGGGUGACCGGCCCGAGGGGCACUGAGAUACGGGUCCCACUCCUACGGGAGGCAGCAGGCUAGAAAUUUGGGCAAUGGGGGAAACCCUGACCCAGUGACGCCGCGUGCAGGAAGGAGCCCUUCGGGGUGUAAACUGCUGUCGUGUAGGGAGAAGGGUACUAAGGUGAACAAUCUUAGUACUUGACGGUACUACAGGAGGAAGCCCAGGCUAACCUCGUG
Molecule: ribosomal RNA, 498 nt
Filed under: uncultured bacterium
Lineage: Bacteria
Description: bacterial SSU rRNA
Rfam family: Bacterial small subunit ribosomal RNA
Source: RNAcentral